GACGAACCGUGCAACCGUUGUUCGGAAUCACUGGGCUUAAAGGGCGCGUAGGCGGGCCAGCCAGUCUGUGGUGAAAGCCUCCAGCUUAACUGGAGAAGUGCCGUGGAUACUGCUGGCCUCGAGGAGGGUAGGGGCAUCUGGAACGGUCGGUGGAGCGGUGAAAUGCGUUGAUAUCGGUUGGAACGCCGGAGGCGAAAGCGGGUCACUGGGCUUGUCCUGACGCUAAGACGCGAAAGCUAGGGGAGCGAACGGG
RNAcentral lists this ribosomal RNA (253 nucleotides) under uncultured bacterium. Its description in RNAcentral is "partial 16S ribosomal RNA". It matches the Rfam family "Bacterial small subunit ribosomal RNA", at positions 524 to 776 of the family's 1533-position model. The record is from RNAcentral.